GGCAAUACUCAGAGGCAGAAGAAGACAAGAUAAACAGAGACCAAGAGAAAAGAGGUGAAACCGUUUCAUAAGAGUAAUAGAGAGGAGAUGGACAUAUGGGCAAAUUAGCUAUCCCAACUGGAACCUAGCUAAUGCAUUCCGAAGAGGCAGACUUCCAGUCUGAGGUAGAUGAAAAGAGCAGCCAUAGAAACAGAUCUGUAGAUGCAUCAAUUGGAAAGGAUGGGAGGGUUGGAGGAGGAGCACAUUUGGAUGACUACAUUAGAUUGUGGCAUAUGAGGUCACUUUAUCUGAUGAAGCAUCAAUAGGAGAGGAUGAAAGGGAGGGAGGGAGAGGAAAAGAAAGAAGAACAGAUGAGGAGCACUAUGUUCUGCUUCCGUGUGGAUUGACAGCAUUGCUUUAAUGAGCUGCUGGAGGGCACAAUGGAGGAAGAGGGAGAGCGUCCAUUAUAGGCAGUUUGCCAUGGCCCUAAAUGGGCUUUUGGA
Long non-coding RNA from Coregonus clupeaformis (lake whitefish), 482 nucleotides. RefSeq lists it as uncharacterized. NCBI's taxonomy places the organism in Eukaryota, Metazoa, Chordata, Actinopteri, Salmoniformes, Salmonidae. The record is from RefSeq and is a predicted model, not a curated record. The transcript has 3 exons.